UGGGAUGUAGCUCAGUGGGUACAGAGUGCUAGUCUCACAUGCACAAGGUCCUGGCUUCAAUCCCCGGCAUCACAA
Molecule: transfer RNA, 75 nt
Filed under: Ictidomys tridecemlineatus (thirteen-lined ground squirrel)
Lineage: Eukaryota; Metazoa; Chordata; Mammalia; Rodentia; Sciuridae
Description: Spermophilus tridecemlineatus (thirteen-lined ground squirrel) tRNA
Rfam family: tRNA
About the family: Transfer RNA (tRNA) molecules are approximately 80 nucleotides in length. Their secondary structure includes four short double-helical elements and three loops (D, anti-codon, and T loops).
Source: Rfam by way of RNAcentral